UGGGGAAUUUUGGACAAUGGGGCAACCCUGAUCCAGCCAUCCCGCGUGUGCGAUGAAGGCCUUCGGGUUGUAAAGCACUUUUGUCCGGAAAGAAAACGUCGUGGUUAAUACCCGUGGCGGCUGACGGUACCGGAAGAAUAAGCACCGGCUAACUACGUGCCAGCAGCCGCGGUAAUACGUAGGGUGCAAGCGUUAAUCGGAAUUACUGGGCGUAAAGCGUGCGCAGGCGGUCCGCUAAGACAGAUGUGAAAUCCCCGGGCUUAACCUGGGAACUGCAUUUGUGACUGGCGGGCUAGAGUAUGGCAGAGGGGGGUAGAAUUCCACGUGUAGCAGUGAAAUGCGUAGAGAUGUGGAGGAAUACCGAUGGCGAAGGCAGCCCCUGGGCCAAUACUGACGCUCAUGCACGAAAGCGUGGGGAGCAAAACAGGAUUAGAUACCCUGGUAGUCCACGCCCUAAACGAUGUCAACUAGUUGUCGGG
This 479-nucleotide ribosomal RNA is filed under the name uncultured bacterium. RNAcentral describes it as "partial 16S ribosomal RNA". It matches the Rfam family "Bacterial small subunit ribosomal RNA", at positions 355 to 827 of the family's 1533-position model. The record is from RNAcentral.